CAGUAGCCGCGGGAAUACGGAGGGUGCGAGCGUUGUCCGGAUUUAUUGGGUUUAAAGGGUGCGUAGGUGGCUUUUAAGUCAGUGGUGAAAUACGGUUGCUCAACAAUCGAGGUGCCAUUGAUACUGAAGAGCUUGAAAUAAUUGGAGGCUGCCGGAAUGGAUGGUGUAGCGGUGAAAUGCAUAGAUAUCAUCCAGAAUACCGAUUGCGAAGGCAGGUGGCUACGAUUUGUUUGACACUGAGGCACGAAAGCAUGGGGAGCAAACAGGAUUAGAUACCCCCGUAGUCCCUGUCUCUUAUACA
RNAcentral lists this ribosomal RNA (301 nucleotides) under uncultured bacterium. Its description in RNAcentral is "partial 16S ribosomal RNA". It matches the Rfam family "Bacterial small subunit ribosomal RNA", at positions 509 to 808 of the family's 1533-position model. The record is from RNAcentral.